UUUCUUCAGAGAAGAAAUCUGGGUCCCUUCUCCCAAAGCUCAACAUUCUGGCCGAUCAACCACCCCAUCUAAUUCACCCCGCCGAUGGGACGCCCGGGCCACAAAGCAGAAGCAAGCAGCUGCCGGGAUAUUUUUGCACAGCCGUGUGUCACUGUGCGUAUAUCUUCGGUGGCGGAACCCAGUUGACCGUCCUUGGUCAGCCAAAGGCAUCUCCUACCGUGCACCUCUUCCCUCCAUCCUCGGAAGAGAUAAGUACAAAGAGCAAAGCCACACUGGUGUGUCUGCUGGACAGCUUUUACCCAGGGGCAGCCCAAGUCACCUGGAAAGCUGACGGCAAGCAGAUCUCCACUGGAGUGGAGACGACCAAACCAUCCAAACAGAGUGACAACAAGUACAUGGCCAGCAGUUACCUGUCUCUGGCUGCAUCAGAUUGGAACACCCAUGAGACCUACACCUGUCAGGUGACACACGAUGGGAACAGCAUCGAGAAGUCUUUGCAGCGCUCACAGUGUUCUUAACCCUCUGACCCUCAGAUGGCUCAGCUGGUCCUUGUGUCUAUCAGUAGAGUUUUCCCCAAAAGAGCCUGGAUCAGUCUGUAGCAUCACCUUAAUGCUGAUCUCCAGCCGCUCUGCUUCCUGUUUGAUGUGGGGGAUCUUUGACGAUCCCUUUGAUAUCUGCUUUUAUUCCCAUGUUCCCACUGCUCUCACCCCCCUGCAUGUCCUUCCUGCUUUAGUCUCUGAUGCAGCCUUGUUAUGAUAUUAAUAAAACCAGAAACAUUCAGCUAUCACUGUCUGUGAAGAGUUAAAAUUAUUGCCUCUUUCAAAUGUUUUCAAAAAGUUGUUUAUCAUGAUUCUGCAAUAAA
This is a non-coding RNA of Terrapene triunguis (Three-toed box turtle), 862 nucleotides long. Lineage: Eukaryota; Metazoa; Chordata; Testudines; Emydidae. The record is from the annotation of a RefSeq genome assembly.